RNAcentral lists this unclassified non-coding RNA (292 nucleotides) under uncultured fungus. RNAcentral describes it as "partial contains small subunit ribosomal RNA, internal transcribed spacer 1, and 5.8S ribosomal RNA". The stretch from base 1 to 73 matches the Rfam family "Eukaryotic small subunit ribosomal RNA", at positions 1759 to 1831 of the family's 1831-position model. The record is from RNAcentral. Lineage: Eukaryota; Fungi.
GCAAACUUGGUCAUUUAGAGGAAGUAAAAGUCGUAACAAGGUUUCCGUAGGUGAACCUGCGGAAGGAUCAUUACAAUAGGACGCCCGCCCUGGCUUCGGCCAGGAUCCGGGUCCCUUUCCUGGAGAAAUCCAGCUACCCUGUAUUUUGAGCACCUUUGUUUCCUCGGCGGCUUCGGCCGCCAGCGAGGACCCCUUAAAACCUUUGUAAUAAGCAGUAUCUGUCAGUAAAAUGAAAAUUAUCACAACUUUCAACAAUGGAUCUCUUGGCUCUGGCAUCGAUGAAGAACGCAGC